CACAGGAAGGGGAUUUGCGCUAAAGAGAGAAGCUUGGUGCAGGAGUUUAGGAAAGGCUGGCAAUAGUGUUGCCACAUUACAAGCCUUCAGGACAAUUUAGGUCAUUAAGGUCCCUGAAAAUUGGCUACAANN
This 132-nucleotide small nucleolar RNA is filed under the name Jaculus jaculus (lesser Egyptian jerboa). Its description in RNAcentral is "Small nucleolar RNA SNORA33 (ENSJJAG00000009805.1)". The record is from RNAcentral. Lineage: Eukaryota; Metazoa; Chordata; Mammalia; Rodentia; Dipodidae.